Phymastichus coffea is the source of this 447-nucleotide long non-coding RNA. RefSeq lists it as uncharacterized. The record is from RefSeq and is a predicted model, not a curated record. NCBI's taxonomy places the organism in Eukaryota, Metazoa, Arthropoda, Insecta, Hymenoptera, Eulophidae. The transcript has 3 exons.
GGAAAUUGUUGACUGUGGCUGCGUAAAUGGAACUGUACAUGGGUCCGUAGACCAGAGGAACGAUAGCCUCGCACACACCAAACAGCGAAUUGACUUUGCCUGUGGAGGAGAACAACAAGUCGUCGACAUCAAACUCACGAGACGAGGGAGUCUGAUUUGCCUCAAUUGCCGUGCACGUGCCGUUCGAUUAAGGUAGAUACACCUGACACUUACCCAACUCGUCGGGUGGAACGAGCUUCGAGGUUAUCGAGCGCAUCACGAUGAACGACGUCCCGUUUAUUAUCUCCACCAGUGGCGCUGCAUGAAAACACACAUACAUCCAAUUCGGUUUAAUCUGUUCAAACUAGUUCUCGACGUCGUUGUUCACUGCCAACAUUGAUCGAGUUUGUUUUCAACGGUCCAAGCGAAAUAUCGCAAGCGAUUCCAAAUUCAAAUAGAUACGUCGUG